UAAUUCAAUAAAAGCGAAAGGGAAUACGGUUCCAAUUCCGUAACCUGUUGAGUAUACGUUUGUUUAUUAAAAAUGGGUCUUAUUACACUCAUCCUGGCAACAGGAACGACCAUAGAGAAGCCUUCGAGAGAUACUGGAAGAGUUUUCUUUUCUGCUAAACAAACGUACCACCAUGGAAGUCUUUUAUAGAGAGAUAUGGUGGAUGGCUUGGAAGAGCAUGACAUUUAC
RNAcentral lists this ribosomal RNA (228 nucleotides) under Bradysia coprophila. RNAcentral's name for it is "partial ribosomal RNA". It matches the Rfam family "Eukaryotic large subunit ribosomal RNA", at positions 1581 to 1775 of the family's 3401-position model. The record is from RNAcentral. Lineage: Eukaryota; Metazoa; Arthropoda; Insecta; Diptera; Sciaridae.